RNAcentral lists this ribosomal RNA (379 nucleotides) under uncultured eukaryote. Its description in RNAcentral is "partial 18S ribosomal RNA". It matches the Rfam family "Eukaryotic small subunit ribosomal RNA", at positions 592 to 976 of the family's 1831-position model. The record is from RNAcentral.
CAAUAGCGUAUAUUAAGGUUGUUGCAGUUAAAAAGCUCGUAGUUGGAUUUGUGGCGUACGGUGUGUUCCGGGCACUUGUUGUCUGAGUAACCUGCUGUUGCCAUCCUUGGGUGGAACCUGUGUGGCAUUAGGUUGUCGUGCAGGGGAUGCCCAUCAUUUACUGUGAAAAAUUAGAGUGUUCAAAGCAGGCUUAUGCCGUUGAAUAUAUUAGCAUGGAAUAAUGAGAUAGGACCUUUUUGCUAUUUUGUUGGUUUGCGCAAAGAGGUAAUGAUUAAUAGGGACAGUUGGGGGUAUUCGUAUUCCAUUGUCAGAGGUGAAAUUCUUGGAUUUUUGGAAGACGAACUACUGCGAAAGCAUUUACCAAGGAUGUUUUCAUUAA